AGUUCAGAUUGCAGGCUGCAACCCGCCUGCAUGAAGUCGGAAUUGCUAGUAAUCGCGGAUCAGCAUGCCGCGGUGAAUACGUUCCCGGGCCUUGUACACACCGCCCGUCACACCAUGAGAGUCGGAAACACCCGAAGCCUGUAGUCCAACCGCAAGGGAGGAAGCGUCCUAAGGUAGGGUCAGCGAUUGGGGUGAAGUCGUAACAAGGUAGC
This 212-nucleotide ribosomal RNA is filed under the name uncultured bacterium. Its description in RNAcentral is "partial 16S ribosomal RNA". It matches the Rfam family "Bacterial small subunit ribosomal RNA", at positions 1290 to 1500 of the family's 1533-position model. The record is from RNAcentral.